This is a ribosomal RNA of 907 nucleotides. It matches the Rfam family "Bacterial small subunit ribosomal RNA", at positions 10 to 918 of the family's 1533-position model.
AGUUUAUCUGGCUCAGACGAACGCUGGCGGCGUGCUUAACACAUGCAAGUCGAACGGAGAUUCACAAUGGAUCUUAGUGGCGAACGGGUGAGUAACGCGUAGGCAAUCUGCCUUCUAGAUGGGACAACAUCCCGAAAGGGGUGCUAAUACCGAAUGUUGUACCGUUUCCGCAUGGAGAUGAUCUAAAGGUGGCCUCUGAAUAUGCUACCGCUAGAAGAUGAGCCUGCGUCUGAUUAGCUAGUGGAGGGGUAACGGCCCACCAAGGCUUCGAUCAGUAGCCGGUCUGAGAGGAUGAACGGCACACUGGGACUGAGACACGGCCCAGACUCCUACGGGAGGCAGCAGUGGGGAAUCUUCCGAAUGGACGAAAGUCUGACGGAGCAACGCCGCGUGAGUGAAGAAGGUUUUCGGAUCGUAAGCUCUUUCGUUAGGGACGAACGUGCUCUUUGUGAAUAAUGAGGAGUAAUGACGGUACCUAAUAAGAAGCCACGGCUAACUACGUGCCAGCAGCCGCGGUAAUACGUAGGUGGCAAGCGUGUCCGGAAUUAUUGGGCGUAAAGCGCGCGCAGGCGGGAUAUCAAGUCUGUCUUAAAAGGCGAGGCUCAACCUCGUGAGGGGACAGAAACUGGUAUUCUUGAGUGUCGGAGAGGAAAGGGAAUUCCAAGUGUAGCGGUGAAAUGCGUAGAGAUUUGGAAGAACACCAGUGGCGAAGGGACUUUCUGGACGAUGUCUGACGCUGAGGCGCGAAAGCUAGGGGAGCGAACGGGAUUAGUACCCCGGUAGUCCUAGCCGUAAACGAUGGGUACUAGGUGUAGGGGGUAUCGACCCCUCUGUGCCGGAGUUAACGCAAUAAGUACCCCGCCUGGGGAGUACGGCCGCAAGGUUGAAACCAAAUGAAUUGACGGGG